RNAcentral lists this ribosomal RNA (403 nucleotides) under bacterium. RNAcentral's name for it is "partial 16S ribosomal RNA". It matches the Rfam family "Bacterial small subunit ribosomal RNA", at positions 355 to 776 of the family's 1533-position model. The record is from RNAcentral.
UGGGGAAUAUUGCACAAUGGGGGAAACCCUGAUGCAGCGACGCCGCGUGAACGAAGAAGGUAUUCGUAUCGUAAAGUUCUGUCCUAUGGGAAGAUAAUGACAGUACCAUAGAAGAAAGCUCCGGCUAAAUACGUGCCAGCAGCCGCGGUAAUACGUAUGGAGCGAGCGUUGUCCGGAAUUAUUGGGCGUAAAGGGUACGCAGGCGGUUUAAUAAGUCGAAUGUUAAAGAUCGGGGCUCAACCCCGCAAAGCAUUGGAAACUGAUAAACUUGAGUAGUGGAGAGGAAAGUGUAAUUCCUAGUGUAGUGGUGAAGUACGUAGAGAUUAGGAGGAAUACCAGUAGCGAAGGCGACUUUCUGGACACAAACUGACGCUGAGGUACGAGAGCGUGGGGAGCGAAAAGG